AGAUCGGAUUAGCUAGUUGGUGGGGUAAUGGCUCACCAAGGCGACGAUCCGUAACUGGUCUGAGAGGAUGAUCAGUCACACUGGAACUGAGACACGGUCCAGACUCCUACGGGAGGCAGCAGUGGGGAAUAUUGCACAAUGGGCG
Molecule: ribosomal RNA, 145 nt
Filed under: Escherichia sp.
Lineage: Bacteria; Pseudomonadati; Pseudomonadota; Gammaproteobacteria; Enterobacterales; Enterobacteriaceae
Description: partial 16S rRNA
Rfam family: Bacterial small subunit ribosomal RNA
Source: RNAcentral